Bradysia coprophila is the source of this 230-nucleotide long non-coding RNA. The record is from RefSeq and is a predicted model, not a curated record. NCBI's taxonomy places the organism in Eukaryota, Metazoa, Arthropoda, Insecta, Diptera, Sciaridae.
CCUAACGAGGCGAAGCCGAGUAGGACAAGCUUACGACGUUGCUUGAAAACUGAAAUGAGAUGAAACCACAACACCAUUAACAUAGAAAUCACUCUACAGCCAUUUCAACAACAAAGCAUGCACACUUGAUCGCGGCCGGAUAAAUAUAUAUGAAAAUCCACUUUCGGCCGGAGAGAGCGUCCGGGAUAGUACUUUCUUGGCCGCAAAUACCUCUCUCUGAGAAGUACAGA